GAUGAACGCUGGCGGCGUGCCUAACACAUGCAAGUCGAGCGAAGAUAGAGACGAGUACUUGUACAAAUUUUUAUCUUAGCGGCGGACGGGUGAGUAACACGUGAGUAACCUGCCUUUCACUGGGGAAUAACAUCGAGAAAUCGGUGCUAAUACCGCAUAAUGUCACGAGAUCGCAUGGUUUUGUGACCAAAGGAGCAAUCCGGUGAUAGAUGGACUCGCGUCCGAUUAGAUAGUUGGUGAGGUAACGGCCCACCAAGUCAACGAUCGGUAGCCGAACUGAGAGGUUGAUCGGCCACAUUGGGACUGAGACACGGCCCAGACUCCUACGGGAGGCAGCAGUGGGGAAUAUUGGGCAAUGGGCGCAAGCCUGAUCCAGCCAUGCCGCGUGAGUGAAGAAGGCCCUCGGGUUGUAAAGGCUCUUUUGUCCGGAAAGAAAAGCGCCGGGUUAAUACCCUGGUGUCCUGACGGUACCGGAAGAAUAAGCACCGGCUAACUUCGUGCC
This 502-nucleotide ribosomal RNA is filed under the name uncultured bacterium. RNAcentral describes it as "bacterial SSU rRNA". It matches the Rfam family "Bacterial small subunit ribosomal RNA", at positions 28 to 509 of the family's 1533-position model. The record is from RNAcentral.